Molecule: long non-coding RNA, 10033 nt
Organism: Camelus dromedarius (Arabian camel)
Lineage: Eukaryota; Metazoa; Chordata; Mammalia; Artiodactyla; Camelidae
Exons: 8
Source: RefSeq, a predicted model, not a curated record
GCCAGGGAGGUAAAAUAUGAGCUGCGGGCCUUGAAGGGUUAGAGAAGUGUGCAGAGGCAGGACUGCUGCCUCCUUCAGGAUGCCCCCAGAGUUAAAACUAUUUCUCUCCAUCUCUGCUACUCUCCUCCACCCUCCAGAUCCCUGCCUUCUCUCUGCUCCUCCUGUCCAUGUCUCUCCCUCCACUUUUCCCCUUCUCCCUUCCUCCUCCCAUCUUCUCCGUCCCUCGCUUCCCCACCUUCUCUUGCAGAACCCAGAGAGGAUCGCUGGCCCUCCUGCGCAUGCGCAGUCUGUGCCAGCUGGACCGAGGGUUGGAAGCUGCAACUCCGAGCCGGGGAUCGGCCCCAAAGGCUUCUCAGCUCUUUCGCCCGCUCAGUGGUGUGGGCGCUGCUCCCCGGGCUGAGAGCCUCCGGCUGUGAACCCCAGCUUCUCCUGGUGGAGUCGGGAAAAGGGAGCGUCAGUGCUGAGCGAGCUUCCGUCUCCUCCCUCAGUGUUUCUGCCCCAGGUAAGUACCUUGAACACUUUCACGUGUUUUGAUGGCGGUGCUUGAUGAUGUCACUGUUUUUAUAGUGAGAGGGAUUACAGUGUUGAAAGCAAGGCUUGGUUCAUUUAAAAAUGAGCUGAAGGCAUGAGGCUGUGACAUCCUCCAUCCUUCCCUCUCCCAGGGUGAAACGUGUGGCCGUCGAUCUUAAAAAGAUAGUUACAGUCCCUAACUAGCCCAGCCCAGCUAGGGUGUGUUAACAGGAACAGCACCACCAGAGGCGUUGGAGACUCAGGGACUUUGCAGUCCUAAAGAGCUCCUGGCAAAAUUUGGUUUGUUUUGGUUUUUUUGUUCUUCUUAAAUUGUGGGGCAGACUAGUAGUAUAGAGGGAAAAAUAAUUGUCAAGAAAUAUUUUUUCAUUUAACAUCUUUAUUGUGAUAUUGUUCACACACCAUGAAGUCCACCCACUUAAAUGCUACAAUUCAGCAGCUUUAGCAUAUUCACAGUGGUGCAACCAUUUAAUAUUCCAGAACGUUUUCAUCACUUCAGAAAGACCAGUGGAAAUGAAUGACCUAUCCACCCCUUCCCAGUGCUGGUUCUAAAGAAGUUUCUUGGUUGUUCCUGACCAUAAAUUAUCUUGUUACCCAUAAAAAAUCUGGUAGGAAAUCUAAACAGAAUUGUAUUGAAUCUGUCUAUCAAAGCAAGAAGAAUUAAUGUCUUUAUGGCAUAAAUUUCUUCUACCCAUGAAUAUAUCUCGGACCCUAUAUUUUCAUAUUUCCAGAGCCUGGCCCAUGGGAAGUCCUCUUUAAUUGUUGGGUUUGUGAAUGAUGAGAUUCUAUACAUCGUUAGUUGCAACUGAAGCCUUUCACAGAAGAGAAAAGUAAACUCACUGAAGCCAAGUGACUCUCUGAUGGUCAGAAAGAGUGACAGCCAGUGCUGGAGUGAUCCAGUGGACUUGGUGUUUGUAACCAGAAUUCUCCAGCACCUACAGCUAAGGGGAUCAGAGUAUUCUUUUAUUUUUUCUAAAUGGCGUUUCUUUUAUUUUUACUUAUUUUUUAAAAUUAUUUUUUAUUGAAGUGUAGUCAAUUUAGAAUGUUAGUUUCAGAUGUACAGCAGAGAUUCAGUUAUAAACAUAUGCAUAUGUAUCUACAUAUGUUUUAGAUUGUUUUUAGUACAACUCAUUACAAGAAAUUGAAUAUAGUUCCCUGUGCUAUAUAGUAGGUCCUUGUCAUUUAUUUUAUAUUUAUUAAUGUGUAUCUGUUAAUCCCCCUUUUCCUGCCUGCUAACCACAGUUUGCUUUCUAUGUCCAUGAGUCUAUUUCUAGCAGCACCGUAUUUGCUAGUAAUAUAUGCUGGUUGGCUGCUUUCAGUUUCAGUAAUUCCACCUUAUCUGUGGGCAUUUUCCUUCUGGUGGGCCUGUGUGUGGUUUGCACACGUGAUAUAAGAGUUGUGUAUUUGGGAGAACUCCAGGCCUCAUGUAGUGCCUGGUACAGAGUGCCCACUGAGCUGAUGCUUGAACUGGGAAAAAAAACAUAGUAAACGUUGGAAUUUCCACUAUGGUUGAGACUUCCAGGUUUCCAUAACCUGUUUAGCCCACCUUAAUGUUGGCUGCACCCAUACUGGGUAAUUUGGUGGAACUUCAUGGUAUGGUGGUGUAGAGACGGGGCCUUGUAUGCUUCUUCUCUUUCCGUUUUCUAAGACUCAUUCUCCUGGGCCUUCCAGAUCCUCCCCCAGAAGUGCCCAAGGCUGGCUUGGUGCUGCGCUGAGGCAAUAUUUGUUAAUAAGACCCUUUCCUCAUCUCUUCUGAGCCUCCGUUUCCUUCUCUGCACAAUGAAGACUUAGACUAGAAAAGUGCUUUUCAGUUUCUUUUAAGCCAUGUUUCCUUUGAGAAACCGAAUAUACAAAUCUCUCCUCCCAUUCAACAUACAGAUUUUGACACAUCCUCCAAGGAGUGACAUAGCUCUUUGUGGAAAAUUGAAGUGAUUGUGAUUCCAGGUGGCACAGAAAAGACUCUUCAGACAUUUAUUGCAGGGAGAGGGCAGGAAAGGGGCAGUAUAUCCCACUUUCUAGUGUGAGCACUGGAACAGGGGCUUGGGUUUAAAUACAGUGUCCGAAGUGGCCUCUCUCUAAUCUUUUUUUUUUUUUUGCCUCUCUCUAAUCUUGCACAAUGUGAUAAACCUCUCUCCCUCAGUUUCUUAAUGCGUCAAGUUGGGGUGAUAAUAAUUUAAGUCUUUUGUGAAACAUUAUACACAUAAGACAUUUGUUUCUCGGUAGAAAAAAAACCUGCGAGAGAAUCUGGGAUUUCUUUAAAAAAAAAAAAAUCUUGUCCACAGCACUCUGUCUGUGUCUAUUUUGAAGUUCCUUGAGGGUGAGUGUUGGGUCUAAAGUCCAUCGUGGGACAGGUGGCCCAUGGGUCUGUGUGCCGCAGAUUGCCCCCUCCUCCCCAGUCCUCUUCCUCUCAGUCCAGGAUGAAGUUCCCUAGUAGAUUUACACAGAGAUCUUGUGGAAAUGGCUUUUCAUUUUAUUGUUUCACGAAGAAGGGCUGCCAUCAUGAUCUCUGUAGUCAGCUUUUGGUGACCUGAAGGCUAUGCAAUUACGUUUUUCUAUUUAAUAAAAAGAAAAAAAAAUUACAAGUACAAAAUUAGACCUACGGUGGUGGCAGGGGCUCUUGAAAGUGGGGACCAUUAGCUUUGUUAGUUUCAGGUGCAGGGGCCUCUGGCCAUGAGGACACAUCAUCGUGCUCUGAAGUUGGAGGGACCAGUGGGCUCAGUGGGAAUGUUUACUGAGUGUAUCUCAUGGGCUGGGCAUUGACCUAUUUGUACUGUGUGUUCCUUAUUUGAGACAGUGAGCUCAUUUAACCUCAAUAGCCUCUUUAAUAAAUUAGACUUUUUAUUUUGAGAUAUAAUGUAGAUUCCCAUGUAGUUGUAAGAGAUAAUAUGGAGAGGGCCUACGGACUUUUUGCCCAAGUUUCUUUAAAGGUUCCAUCUUGCAAAGUUGGGAUACAAUUCAGUAAUGACUCACUAACACUUUGAGGUUUGUGUUAUUGCCCUCAUUUCUAUUCAUGAUUAAACUGGGGUUAAGAGGAGCACACAGGCCUGCCCAGGUCACCCAUGGUUAGUGUAGAGUCGGGUGAAACGUGGGCUUGGGAUUUCCAGGCAGUACCAUCAUGAUGCUCUGUGGCAGGGAGCAGCAUUCACUUUGCUUGUUUAUUCAUUCAUUCAACAAGCAUUUAUUGAGUAAACUCUGUGGGUCAGAUGCUAUCAUAGGUUUAUCUGAUUCUUCAGCAGUAUGGAGAAUCCGGUAAUGUUUCCUUCUUUUUUUUAAUCUGAGAAAAUUAGCUCUGAGAGGUUAUAAACCCCCCAAAGGAAAUAUAGCUCAUAAAUGAGGGAUAGUAAAUUUGUACAGUUCCUUCUUCUUAUGCAGGUGGGACCCUAGGCAUUUUACAUUUGUAAACUUCCAUAAUCCAGAUAUAUUCUUGUAAGGCAAGGAUUUUUUUUUAAUUGAAGUAUACUCAUGUUUACAAUGUUGUGUCAAUUGCAAGGUGUUUUUUUUUUUUUUCUUGAAUUUGGAAUUCAAAAAAUAUUUUUUGAGGGGGGUAAAUAGGUUUAUUUAUUUGUUUCAUUUUUUUAAAAUGAGGUACUGAGGAUUCAACCCAGGACCUCAUACAUGCUAAGCAUGUGCUCUACCACUGAACUGUACCCUCCUCCCCAAAGCAAGUUUUCUUAUCAAGUAUUCUGCAGCUUAGGAGUUCAAAUAAAUUGGAGUUGAAAUCCAGGUCUUUUGAUCCUACUGUGUUUCUUUGCUUUAUAUCCUGCUGAGGGGUGUGGAAGCAGUUCCUUUAUUCAUUCCUUUAUUCAGCAGUUUUGAGCACUGACUUUGCAUCAGGGCCUGGCUAGGUGCUUGGAAACAGAAAACAAGAAAUGACCCUUUUCUGCAGAGGGCGGAGGCCUAGACCAAAAGCUGCGUAAUGUGAUCUGAGCUGCGGUAGCCAUGUGCAGACGCUGAGGACAAACUGUACCCCCGGCUUUGCUUGGGCUUCCCCUGCCUUCUGACUGGUACACACCAGGUCACCGCAACCCAGUGAGGCCCGCAGCCCGCAGCACAGUAUGUACCUCGGUCUCCUCUUCCCUCUCGUCAGGGCCUGCAACAUGAACAUCCCUGACUACGUGCAGUGUGCUGAGGACCACCAGACUCUCCCCGUGGUGGUCCAACCCGUGGGGAUCAUCUCAGAGCAGAAUUUGUUGUGCAUCUAUAAGCGAAUCUCCUUGGUGAGGCAGAUCAGCCCGUGCGGCUCGCAGUGGGCACUCUGUAUCCACUAAAGUCACCACUAUGCGCCCGAGAAUGGGUGGAGCGACUUCCAGACCCACCACAAGGUCGUGGGCCUUGUCACCAUUACCGACUGCCUCUUGGCCAAGACCUUCGAGAAGCUCCACGUGCAGAGGAGCUGUAUGGCACCACGCUCUAUGACUCUCGGCUCUUUGUCUUUGUGCUGCAUGGGGAGGUGGCCGAGCAGCCGCGCACCGACGUGGCCUUCAAUUUACGAGGACUGCCGGGUGGUGGAGAAGAGGAUCGAGGACUUCACUGAGUCUCUCUUCAUCAUGCUCAAGUCCAAGUGGCUGGACGGUGCAUCCAACAAGUCUGGGGACAAGAUCCUCCUGCUCUACAUCCUGUUUGAGAAUGAGGACUUCGUGGGACUGGACACAGAGAGCAGGAAAGUCUACCUGGAUGCCCGGCCACCCUGGCUAUGUGAAGGGUUGCUUCCCUACAUCCAGAAAGGGAUCAGCAAGGAGGAGGGCUGUCUUGUAGCCAAGGCGUGAGGGAGGAGCAACCCGCCGGUUUUCAGACGUUUAAAAGUGAAUCCGCCUUUGUUUCAGAGAGAUUCUUCUAGGGUUAUUAUGGACACUUACUCCCGCUUUUCAGCCAAUUACCCUGGUGUGACCCCUGGAGUUGCUGUCCAAUAGAGUAGCCAAAGCCACUGAUGCUAGGAGAGCUGGGGAGGAGGCUGCUCUGAGCUGAGAUGUGCUCUAGGUCAAAUGCACAUCAGACGCUGAGACUUGUCUAGUAAAAAGAAUGUAAACAAUCUUGUUACUUUCUUUAUUGAUUACAUGUCAAUAUGAUAGUAUUUUACAUACAGUAGUAUAAGUAAGAUAUGUUCUUAAAAUCAGUUUCUAGGGGUUUUUUUGGGGGGUUACCUCUUUAAAUGUGGCAACUGGGAAACUUUCUUUACAUGGCUCACAUUUCAUUCCUGUUGGACAGCCUCUCCUGGGACAGUCUCAUCACUUUGCUUAUAGAUGUCAUGCUGAAUCCUGAGAUGCAGAAUGAGGCGCUGGUUGAGCUGGGGGUGGAGCCAGUGUCUCCUGCUUCCCAGGUCCAGCACCUGCACGGCUCAGGCCCUCUCUCCCUGCCUGACAACCACCAUGCCAAUUUAGGACAACAGAAACACUGCCAGGGGCUUCCAAAUGAGCUCCUUACGCAGGGAAAUGCGUGUCACGGAGUAUGGGGCACAGCAGGGAAAGAUUCGUCCUCACUUUGUCCCUGUGAUUAGGUCAACGGACCCACUUUGCCUUGGAAGUGCAGACGAGUUCUUCUGGGCUGCCUAACCCCCCUCCUUUUGCUCUGUUUCCCUGUGUAUCUAUCGAGAUGUCCCUCGGGCAGAAGAGGGUGAGAUGCCUUUGCCGAGAGGUGGUCCCUCUUUGCUGGGGAGAUUGUGGGAAUCUGUGUCCCCCCGGCCUACGGCCUCGGGCCUUGACUCUGGAGAGGGCUCAUGGCGGUCCCACAGGUGACGGUCGGAGGACCUGGCACGUGCUGCCGGGCCCGAAGUGGAGGAGGUGUUCUGCGAUUCUCUGUGAGUCUAAAAUCAGAUUCUACUUUCUGGUUGUUGGUAAGUUGGAGGAGAAGAUGCCAGAGAAUUGAUAAAAAGAUAGUCCAGACCAGUCCUGUGAGUGACAGGCACAGGGGACCCGAGUCCCACCUGCUUGUGGUGCCUGGCGGGCUCUGGAUGUAUUUUCAAUUCCUCCCCGGGCAUACCUCUGUGGCUUAAGGAAGGGGCGAGGCAUAUCGUGGCCAUGACCUGUACUUGUCCUCGCAGGGCCCUGUGAUAUACACGGCUUUCUCCCCUUCCGCUUCUUGUAGAUGAGCUGGCAGAUGUAGUGGUCUGGGCAAAGCUGAGGGCACAGAUGCCAGCACCGUGCCACUCCCAGGCUGGCUCCAUUCCCGUCACCUGUCACCUCCUGCUCAGGCCCCAGGCGUCAGUGAAUAUAGGUGCAUCAGUGCAACGUAAGCAGGGACCACCUUCUCCCCCUGGACAGAAUGGUGGGUGAGCACUGGAAGCCUGAAGCCCUGCCCCAGCCCCCUGGCCAGUGCCUCCUCUUUUGUCACAGGAGGCACUGGUGAUAUGUUUGCUCAGCAACUGCUUGGCUCUGAGUCUGCAGACCCACCAGAGAAUGCCAGCUUGUUUUUGCCUUUUGAAGUGUGUCCUUGGGAUUUGGCGGAGUAGCUGUUUUUGUGCUUAGCCCAUAGUGGUUGACACUGUCACCAUUGUUUACCCAGAACCUCGUGUACCAGGCAUGGCUCUCGGCAUCAAAAUACAGCAGCGCAUUAAACCUCCCUCCUGGUGGGUCUGUCUGUUUUGGUACCAUAAGGGCUCAGCCAGCAUCUGAACAUCGUUUUGGUUACUGAGACCCUCGAAUUCCCAUAUGAAUUAUAAGAGCAGCUAAUCAGUUUUUGCAGAGGAGCCCACUGGGAUUGUGAUCGAGACCACGUAGAAUAUACGGAUCACUCUGGGGAGCACUGCCAUUCCAAGAGCACUGUCUUCUGAUCCAGGAAUGUACGUGGCGUGUCUGUCCAGGUGCCCUCACAUCCAGUGGCAUCCAUCCAGACACCAACACUGACACUGGCCAUGCUCAGAACUACCUCAGCCCUGAAGACACAAGUGACAAAUAGAAGGGGGCCGCGCCCUGUUACAGCAGGUGCUCUCACUUUGUGGGUCCUUAUGUAACUGCGCGGUGUUAAUCAGGAUCGCCCGUUCUACAUUGUGUGGCGCUGCUGCGGUGUCUUCUAGUUAUUUGUUUCUGAGAAUUACGGCCUGCUGCUAGAGUGUUUGAUCAGGAUAAAUGAUUUGUUUCUAUAAGAUGCCACGUACAGUCACAAGCUCAGUGAGAAAUGGGCUGUCACCUCUUCAUCUGCAACUCAGUGCUCGACAGGACAUCGGGGCAAAGCCAGUCCGUAAUUUGUUUGUGAUGCAACUGUCCACGUGGGUCAAAUCAUGGUGCCCCUCAUAAACCUCCAAAAAAAACCAAAGUUGAUUUUCUAUUUUGCAACUUGCCAUCUCUAUAUAAGUGCAGAAGAGUUAACAUCGUGAAAGAUCAGAGCCCGGAGAAUAGGCUCUCCUGGAUAUUUCAGGCUAAAGGCAACUUUCUUUUACAAAUGGUACAGAGCUACCAAGUCUGAGCCUAGAAAACAGCAAAGGUUUAAAGCCAAAUGAACAGAUCUAACAUGCAGUCAAAUUUAUUCUUUUCUAUUACAAUUUCUUUUUCCACCACAUAAAUAAUUUUAGGAAGAAACAUGAGCAAUUUUUUUACUUUUGCUUCUUAGUAACGGAUAAGUGGGCCAAAUACAUUUAUGAGAGCAGGGAUGCUGUGUGGGCAUUGGGGUCACAGCAAACUCUUGUUGGGGGUGGUCGACUCUGCAACAUGUCUGAUGCCCCGUGGGUGUUGGUGAGGGACCCCAUAACCAGGGGCUCUCUUCAGGAACCAGCAUAUGGGCAUUGACCUCUGGAGACCUUUUUCAGCUGCCGGAAAUUUUUUCAGAUAAUGUGACUGAAAAACCACUUCAGCUGGUGAUAAUUAGGGAAUAAAGGAAGAGGAAAAGGGCUUGGAUUAGAUUAGAAGAGAAGGACAGAAUAUCAGGUAACCUGGGGGCUUGGCAGUGGGUCCUUGGGAGAGAGGGGAGCAGAGGUGGGGAAGGGCACGGCUCUGGAACCAGCUCCUGCACCUGUCCCAGGGCCCAAGUCACACAGCUUUAAAUUGGCCUAGGACACUUUCCUGUCUGGAUGUCACCCUGGGCAGAACCUUGAGAAUCGAAGGUAAGGGGUGGGCAGCACUCACCUAGGGGAUCACUGAGGACUUCGUUCAAGUCCACGGUGCCUUUUCUGGUCAUGUGUCUUCACUUGCCCUUUAUCUUAGGAUCUGAGGAGCAGGAGGAAGGAACGCAGGGAGAGAUUCAGGAAGACAUCUGACUGUGUUAAGAGACGACAGUCACAGCCACACGGGGAGCGAGGACACUUGCAGCAAAGUAAAACGACUUCACAACUAUUGCAUCAGAGCUGCAGGUGUGAGAGAGCCUAAGCCUGUCUCAGAGUGCAGGGGACAAGUGGAAAGGAAUGUGUAAGAAUGCUGGUGACUGAGUUAGAAGCAUGCUUCGAAGCUGUCCAUGUCCUUGCCAUCCAGAAGCGGAGCCUGGGAGCUACCGAAUUUCUCCAGAAUGCGGUUUACAUUCAUCUUCUACAGCAUUCCUAGGAGAGAAUUCAGCAGUGCAGCAUCCUCUCCGAGCUCUAUGAGUUGAUCGGCUUCCACCGCAAGUCCGCCUUCUUCAAGCGGGUGGCCCCCGUGCAGCGCGCGGCCCCCGGCAUUACGGAGCCUGGCGGGAAGGUCUGCUACCGACUCCUUCUGCAGACGCUUCCUGGCUACAGUCUGUCGCUGGAUCUGCAGGACUUCAGCAAACGUGUUGGAACUAAAACAUUGCUUCAGUCCCAUUAACCAUGCCUGGUUUGGGCCCUGCUGUCCUGUCUCAUCAGGGUGAAUUCUGAUUCGUUUAGAAUAGGGCUCAGCAGAGUUUUUCUGUCAAGGGCUUGGGAGUAAAUAUUUCAGGGUCUGCAAACCUCCUGAUCUCUGGUGCAGCUGCUCAGCUCUGCUGUUCAGACUCCAGAGCAUCCGGACAUUCCACACACCCACAGAGCUUUAUUAACAGCGGUGUCUGGGGCUGGAUUCAGUGUAUGAACUGCAGUUUGUCCCCACAGCCUCCUCACUAUUGACGCCUGCAACAGAGCAUGCAUUUGCGACAAUGGGUGAACCUGCACUGACACGUCAUCAUCACCCAGAGCCCAGACUUAACACUAGGAUUUACACUUGGUGGUGUGCACUCUGUGGGUUUGGACAGAUGUGCAAUGACAUGUAUCCACCGUCACAGCAUCAUACAGAGUAGUCUGUCUUAGUGACCUUAAAAUGCUCCGUGCUGCACCUCAUUCAUUGCUCCUUCCCCUCUAGCCUCUGACAGCCACUGAUCUUUUAGUCUCUGUGGUUUUCCCUUUCCCAGAACACCAUACAGUUGGAAUCAGACAGUUGCGGAACCUUCCCAGAUUGGCUUCUUUCCCUUAGUAAUAUGCAUUUAAGGUUCCUCCAUGUCUUUCCAUGCCUUGAUAACUCAUUUCAUUUUAGCACCAAAUAAUAGUCCAUUUUCUGGCUGGACCACAGUUUAUCCAUUCACCUACUGAAGAACAGCUUAGUUGCUUCUGAGUUCUGGUGAUUAUGAAUAAAGCUGCUAUUAACAUCUGUAUGCA